RNAcentral lists this ribosomal RNA (253 nucleotides) under uncultured archaeon. Its description in RNAcentral is "partial 16S ribosomal RNA". It matches the Rfam family "Archaeal small subunit ribosomal RNA", at positions 474 to 726 of the family's 1478-position model. The record is from RNAcentral.
CACCAGCGCUACAAGUGGCAAUCACGUUUAUUGGGCCUAAAGCGUCCGUAGCAGGUUUUGUAAAUUUCUUGUGAAACUGCCAAGCUUAACUUGGCAAUGUGCAGGGAACACUGCAAGACUUGAGACCGGGAAGGGUCGGAGGUAUUCCUGAGGGAGCGGUAAAAUGCUAUAAUCUCAGGAGGACCACCGGUGGCGAAGGCGUCCGACUAGAACGGAUCUGACUGUGAGGGACGAAAGCCAGGGGAGCAAACCG